RNAcentral lists this ribosomal RNA (504 nucleotides) under uncultured bacterium. RNAcentral's name for it is "bacterial SSU rRNA". It matches the Rfam family "Bacterial small subunit ribosomal RNA", at positions 10 to 507 of the family's 1533-position model. The record is from RNAcentral.
AGUUUGAUCAUGGCUCAGGAUGAACGCUAGCGGCAGGCUUAAUACAUGCAAGUCGUGGGGCAGCAGGUUGUAGCAAUACAGAUGCUGGCGACCGGCAAACGGGUGCGGAACACGUACAGAACCUUCCUUUGAGCGGGGAAUAGCCCAGAGAAAUUUGGAUUAAUACCCCAUAGUAUAAUGAAGUGGCAUCACUUUAUUAUUAAAGAUUUAUCACUCGAAGAUGGCUGUGCGGCUGAUUAGGUAGUUGGCGGGGUAAAGGCCCACCAAGCCUGCGACCAGUAACUGGUGUGAGAGCACGACCAGUCACACGGGCACUGAGACACGGGCCCGACUCCUACGGGAGGCAGCAGUAAGGAUAUUGGUCAAUGGAGGCAACUCUGAACCAGCCAUGCCGCGUGGAGGAUGAAGGUCCUCUGGAUUGUAAACUUCUUUUAUAUGGGACGAAAAAAGGCUUUUCUAAGUCGUCUGACGGUACCAUAUGAAUAAGCACCGGCUAACUCCGUG